This is a long non-coding RNA of Phyllostomus hastatus (greater spear-nosed bat), 983 nucleotides long. RefSeq lists it as uncharacterized. The transcript has 5 exons. Lineage: Eukaryota; Metazoa; Chordata; Mammalia; Chiroptera; Phyllostomidae. The record is from RefSeq and is a predicted model, not a curated record.
ACAGCAACUCUGGGCUUUAAGUGGCUUAAUUUGCGGGAGGUCGCGUGUUGGUGUGAGCCAGACCUUGAAUCGGAAUCUGCCUUUAUAUCCCACAGCUACCUACUGGGUUACUCUGGGCAAGUGACUUCCCUUUUAUUAUCUGGCUGCACAACACACGUUACGAAGGUCGCCCUGGUGAAUAUGAGGGCAAGUUUUUCUGGAGGAUGGGUUUUAGGGUCAUUCAGGUAUUAAGUGGUAAUUGGAGACUAUAGGAUCUGUUUUCUUUUGGUCUUCAGAAUGAUGAGUUUCAGUAGGCGUUAAUGAUCUGCAGGAUUUAGGUGAGUUUUAGGGCAGAGCAGAGCUUGGGCUAUCCUGUGACACAGUGCCCUGUGGCCCUUAUCGAAGCUGCUGCUGCUUCCACGUAGCUGCUGCAGUCAAAAAGGAGCCCAGAGUGACAGUUUUCCUUGACGGUCGCCGUUCUGUUUGCUGUAACUGAUCUGCAACAUUUCGGGAAAAGACAGUUUCGAUUGUACCUGCUGUUUCUCAGCUGUUCCAGGUGAAGAUGGCUGGAUGGCUCAGAUUGCUUUCUGGUGAGUGAGGACCCAAGCCAUGGGAGUGAUUGGAACAUAAGCACUUCAGGACAUGGCUGUCACCACAUUUCCUGGCUGUGUCUGGUACUGAAAAAGCUAAGACGUCAGCUUGUUGCUGUCCCUGUGCUUUAAAAUAAGAUGUCAUCAGUGAGCUGUCUUCAUCUGUGAUUGAUGAUCUACGGGGUUGGGAGAGAAGCUGUGUAGGAAGAAGCUAAAAGACCAGUUUGUGGGGGCCAAGAACAGAGACCAAGUAACAGUAAAUCCCCUCAGACCACCCCUCCACCACCCACCCCCUAUGCUCCACUGCCUGCUGCUGGUUCUUGAAACGCCUUUGCCCACCCCUUAUCUGGGGCUGGUCCCCUGUCCACCCUGCCCUGCAGCGUGGAGGACUGUCAUAAUAAACUCUUAAUGUAA